AUGGGUUAUUUGUGCACGCGGUCCUUCCGCAUUUUUAGCGCACUUAAAUCCAGUCCUUUUAUUUCUUUUUAAGUUUAAUCUCUCAUUUUAUUUUUGUUUCAUUUUAAUCCACAUUAAAGCGUUGCAUUUUGAGGAUUGGGAAUAUUUCCCUUUCGGUCCCUCAUGUUAUCCGCGCGCUGCACUUUAGCCGUUCUUUUAUUUUUUUUAAUUCUGUUUGUUACCCGUUUAAUUUUGUUUUAAUUUCA
RNAcentral lists this long non-coding RNA (245 nucleotides) under Gossypium raimondii (Peruvian cotton). RNAcentral's name for it is "long non-coding RNA (GRAI_LNC005778)". The record is from RNAcentral. Lineage: Eukaryota; Viridiplantae; Streptophyta; Magnoliopsida; Malvales; Malvaceae.